This 373-nucleotide ribosomal RNA is filed under the name uncultured bacterium. Its description in RNAcentral is "bacterial SSU rRNA". It matches the Rfam family "Bacterial small subunit ribosomal RNA", at positions 28 to 402 of the family's 1533-position model. The record is from RNAcentral.
GACGAACGCUGGCGGCGUGCUUAACACAUGCAAGUCGAGCGGUAAGGCCCUUUCGGGGGUACACGAGCGGCGAACGGGUGAGUAACACGUGGGUGACCUGCCCUCAGCUCUGGGAUAAGCCUGGGAAACCGGGUCUAAUACCGGAUAUGACUCCAUGACGCAUGUUGUGGGGUGGAAAGCCUUGUGCGGCUGAGGAUGGGCCCGCGGCCUAUCAGCUUGUUGGUGGGGUGAUGGCCUACCAAGGCGACGACGGGUAGCCGGCCUGAGAGGGCGACCGGCCACACUGGGACUGAGACACGGCCCAGACUCCUACGGGAGGCAGCAGUGGGGAAUAUUGCGCAAUGGGCGAAAGCCUGACGCAGCGACGCCGCGU